This 962-nucleotide ribosomal RNA is filed under the name uncultured bacterium. RNAcentral describes it as "bacterial SSU rRNA". It matches the Rfam family "Bacterial small subunit ribosomal RNA", at positions 133 to 1125 of the family's 1533-position model. The record is from RNAcentral.
UAAGUUGGGGAUAAGCCUUAGAAAUAGGGUCUAAUACCGAAUAGUCCCUUACGGGUAAAGCAGCAAUGCGCUUAAGGAGGAUCCUGCGGCCUAUCAGUUAGUUGGUGGGGUAAUGGCCUACCAAGACUAUGACGGGUAGCUGGUCUGAGAGGAUGAUCAGCCACAAUGGAACUGAGACACGGUCCAUACUCCUACGGGAGGCAGCAGUAAGGAAUCUUCCGCAAUGGGCGAAAGCCUGACGGAGCAACACCGCGUGGAGGAUGAAGGCGUUUUCGUCGUAAACUCCUUUUUUGAGGGAAUAAUUCUGAAGGUACCUCAAGAAUAAGCAACGGCUAACUACGUGCCAGCAGCCGCGGUAAGACGUAGGUUGCAAGCGUUAUCCGGAAUUAUUGGGCGUAAAGAGUCCGUAGGUGGUUUGUUAAGUUGGAUGUUAAAGCCCAGGGCCCAACCCUGGACUGGUGUUCAAAACUGGCAAACUUGAGACAAGUAGAGGCAAGUAGAAUUCUGCAUGUAGGGGUAAUAUCCGUAGAUAUGCAGAGGAAUACCAAAAGCGAAGGCAGCUUGCUGGACUUGUUCUGACACUCAAGGACGAAAGCGUGGGGAGCAAACGGGAUUAGAUACCCCGGUAGUCCACGCCCUAAACGAUGAACACUAGGUGUUGGGGGUCUCGACCCCUUCAGCGCCGACGCUAACGCAUUAAGUGUUCCGCCUGGGUAGUACGGCCGCAAGGUUAAAACUCAAAGGAAUAGACGGGGACCCGCACAAGCGGUGGAGCAUCUGGUUUAAUUCGAUAGUAAGCGAGGAACCUUACCACGGUUUGACAUCCCGCGAAGUCUGCCGAAAGGCGGAUGUGCCGUAAGGAACGCGGUGACAGGUGCUGCAUGGUUGUCGUCAGCUCGUGCCUUGAGGUGUUCGGUUAAGUCCGUAAACGAGCGCAACCCAUGUCCUAAGUUGCAUUUUUC